CGACGGGGGGUGCUAGCGUUGUUCGGAAUUACUGGGCGUAAAGGGCGCGUAGGCGGCUCUGCGAGUCGGGCGUGAAAUCCCGGGGCUCAACCCCGGAACGGCGCUCGAUACUGCGGGGCUGGAGACCGGAAGAGGAGGGUGGAAUUCCCAGUGUAGAGGUGAAAUUCGUAGAUAUUGGGAGGAACACCGGUGGCGAAAGCGGCUCUCUGGUCCGGUUCUGACGCUGAGGCGCGAAAGCGUGGGGAGCAAACAGGAUUAGAAACCCUAGUAGUCC
RNAcentral lists this ribosomal RNA (274 nucleotides) under uncultured bacterium. Its description in RNAcentral is "partial 16S ribosomal RNA". It matches the Rfam family "Bacterial small subunit ribosomal RNA", at positions 523 to 796 of the family's 1533-position model. The record is from RNAcentral.